CCUAUGGGAGGCAGCAGUGAGGAAUAUUGGUCAAUGGGCGGAAGCCUGAACCAGCCAAGUCGCGUGAGGGACUAAGGCCCUACGGGUCGUAAACCUCUUUUGCCGGGGAUCAGUGCCCAGCUCGCGAGCUGUGUGGGAUCGUACCCGUAGAAAAAGCAUCGGCUACCUCCUUGCCAGCAGCCGCGGUAAUACGGAGGAUGCGAGGGUUAUCCGGAUUUAUUGGGUUUAAGGGGUGCGUAGGCGGGCCUUCAGGCCGGCGGUAAAAUUGCGGGGCUCAACCCCGCCGAGCCGUCGGAACCGGGGGCCUUGAGUACAGGAGAAGUAGGCGGAAUGCGUGGUGUAGCGGUGAAAUGCAUAGAUAUCACGCAGAACCCCGAUUGCGAAGGCAGCGUACCGGCCGGUGACUGACGCUGAGGCACGAAAGCGUGGGUAGCAAACAGGAUUAGAUACCCUUGUAGUC
This 460-nucleotide ribosomal RNA is filed under the name uncultured bacterium. RNAcentral describes it as "partial 16S ribosomal RNA". It matches the Rfam family "Bacterial small subunit ribosomal RNA", at positions 338 to 795 of the family's 1533-position model. The record is from RNAcentral.